RNAcentral lists this transfer RNA (76 nucleotides) under Vibrio parahaemolyticus. Its description in RNAcentral is "tRNA-His". It matches the Rfam family "tRNA". Rfam says of the family: Transfer RNA (tRNA) molecules are approximately 80 nucleotides in length. Their secondary structure includes four short double-helical elements and three loops (D, anti-codon, and T loops). Further hydrogen bonds mediate the characteristic L-shaped molecular structure. tRNAs have two regions of fundamental functional importance: the anti-codon, which is responsible for specific mRNA codon recognition, and the 3' end, to which the tRNAs corresponding amino acid is attached (by aminoacyl-tRNA synthetases). tRNAs cope with the degeneracy of the genetic code in two manners: having more than one tRNA (with a specific anti-codon) for a particular amino acid; and 'wobble' base-pairing, i.e. permitting non-standard base-pairing at the 3rd anti-codon position. The record is from RNAcentral. Lineage: Bacteria; Pseudomonadati; Pseudomonadota; Gammaproteobacteria; Vibrionales; Vibrionaceae.
UCCUCCUUAGCGGAGUUGGUAGAGCGACGGACUGUGAAUCCGCAGGUCGCUGGUUCGAGCCCAGCAGGAGGAGCCA